AGCAGUAGCCACGGGAAUACGAAGGGUGCAAGCGUUAAUCGGAAUUACUGGGCGUAAAGCGUGCGUAGGCGGUGAGUUAAGUCUGCUGUGAAAUCCCCGGGCUCAACCUGGGAAUGGCAGUGGAUACUGGCUCGCUAGAGUGUGUCAGAGGAUGGUGGAAUUCCCGGUGUAGCGGUGAAAUGCGUAGAGAUCGGGAGGAACAUCAGUGGCGAAGGCGGCCAUCUGGGACAACACUGACGCUGAGGCACGAAAGCGUGGGGAGCAAACAGGAUUAGAUACCCCGGUAGUCCCUGUCUCUUAUAC
This 303-nucleotide ribosomal RNA is filed under the name uncultured bacterium. RNAcentral describes it as "partial 16S ribosomal RNA". It matches the Rfam family "Bacterial small subunit ribosomal RNA", at positions 507 to 807 of the family's 1533-position model. The record is from RNAcentral.